CUCAUAUUUAAGUUAGAUGACUGAAGAUGAAAGGUUAUACCGAGGUCACGAAAUUAUAAACAAGGUUUUGUGAUGAAAAUAAGUUGUAUUCAAAAUAUCAGACUUUGAUUUAUUUCCAGUCAUUUUGUUUCUAAAUACACAUUAAGGUAGUAAAGAGAUGAGAGGGGUUGAUAUAUGAUGCUCCCCAUCAAAAUCACAUUAUUUUUUUUUCACCCGUGAUCAACCUCUAGAUAGGGUACACCUGAACACUGUGAAGAAAAUUAUGGCGAAAUUCAUAAUUUCAUAGUUUUUAAUUUAUUUCCUAUAAAAAAGUAGUUAUUCUAUAACAAUGAGUUGGUCACAUGAUUUCAAAGUAUAAAAAACAAAGCAAAUGCCCAAAUAAAUUAUCCUUAUAUUUUUUUCUCUUAAGGACCCCUACCACUCUUACAUUGUCAAAGUAAGUUGUAUUUUUCUUUUUCCUAGUAAAAAUUACGGUAUUGUAAAAUAAUAAUAUGAUAUAUAUUGUUUUAUAAUGUCAAGUCGGUGCAUUUGCGGAGAGGUUCGUGAUGUUCAGCGCCAACUCGCGCAAUGCAUCCAUGGUUUGGAUGAAAUACCAUGCCCGUAAGUAAAAAGAAUAAAGAAUUCUUAAGAUUUGAAAUUUUUAAGUUCAAGUUGAGUACCUGUCUUCAUUUUUUUAAAGACUGCAAAAUUAUGAUAACUCCUUGACCGUCAACCCUGGGAGUCCAAAUUCUACCUUAACGUAAGAGUAAUUUUAAUUUAAACAUAACUCUAAAUGUGAGAAAAUCACUAUUUUUAUGAUUUUUAAAAAGGUUGUCGGUCAGUCUUAAUUUUUGUAAACCUUUUAUAUUUCUUUUUUAAAGUAUGGAGAAGGGUGAAAUUCUCGUCACGUCGUAAGUGGUAUUUAAAAUACUAGUAUAUGAAACACGUAAUCUGUUUACACAGUUAAUUUAAAAAAAUAAUUAUCUCUUUAGUUUACGUAAUUUUAUUUCUUUACUUUUUUCUUUUGUACAUUUUUUUUAAUAUCGUGACUGUAAUGUAAGAUGCUAUGAAUAUUAAAAAUAUAUUCCCCUCUAUCUUUUAUAUUUUAAAAUACCCUUUAAUCUAAACUACUUAUCAUUUUCCCUUACGAAUAGUACACCUAAACACGGAAGCGGAGACGUGAGGAGAAAAACACUCCAACCACAUCGUAAGUGUUGAUGAAAAGUGAAUAAAGACUUACAAAUUUGUAGAAAACUAAUUUUAACGGUAAGAUUACACAUUUUUCUUUUGUACUCCUUUCACAUGGCCGUGAAAUAAAAUGUUUAAUUAUUAUUAAUUCUAAAAAGAACAUUAAUAUAUAGAUAUAAAUAGAUAGAUAUAUUAUACAUUUUUCGUUUAGUGAUUAUAAACAUAGAUGUAUUAUUCAUAUAUAAUCUUAUUUUUAGCACCACAACCCCUUCGGUCGCUAUUGGGUAUGUAAAUAUUUUUUUUUUUUUGAGAAUUAUAAUUUCAAGUGGAGUAUUAGUGAAUAUAUCCUCUUAUUUUAUUAUUAUUUUUUUUUUUUAGCUUACUCCCGAAUGCGCCUGUCAGACCCACGUUAGUAUGAGAGCAGGUAAUCUCAGUUUUUCUUCAUAUUAUUUUUUGACAGAACAAGGGUGGAGGUCAUAACAAUACGCAAGUUCCGAGUUACCCAAAAGUUAUUUCCCUUUGUCGAACUCUUUCGCAUUUUAUGACGUAUGGUGGGUACACAAUGUAUACAUUAUAUCGUAGACUGGCAUUGUACAUAACGAUUAAUGUAAUAAAAGCGUAACUUUUGUUUAUAUCAAUCACUGGUAUGCAUAUUCUGGCCAUAUCAAGCAUAAUUUGUUUGAAUAAGAUCAUCAAAUUGGCUAUUGAAUCAUUAUUCGUUUCCUCUUCUACAUGAGUGACGCUUUUAUCAAAGAUAGAUGGCAAUUAACAAUAUUUGUUUGAGCAAUUUUGUUAUCCAAUACUCAUAAACUCACUAAAGUUGCCUUUUCCCUGAAAUAGGAUGGUCUCAGAAACUCUGGAUAUCAUCUUAUAAGAAAUAAUACAACGAUAGUAAUUAGCAAAUGUACCCACUGUCAUCAUAUUUUACGUCAUAAUUUACGGAAGAGUUCGACAAAGGGAAAUAAAUCUUGGGGAACUCGGAACUUCCGUAUUCAUGCAGAGUAAGUUGUUUUUUUUUUUUUAUAUUUAUUUACUUAUUUAUUGAUAAAUUUCAUCAGUAUUUUCCCCUAUUUUUUUCUCUCCUGUUAUAUAAAAGUUAUUUUAAUAGUAAUUAUUUAUGAUCAUUUUUGUUUUAAAUUUCAGAUGUGAGCAACCGAAUAUCCCGGUGAAGAAGUAAUCUUCUACCCCCGUUACUCCCUACUACCCGAGGAGCCUGUCACCGAGAGAGAAAAAAAACAUCGCGGGGGACUAACAUCGUGGACUUUUAAUUUCUGAAAUAAUGAAAUAAUAAAUGAAG
Ostrea edulis (European flat oyster) is the source of this 2464-nucleotide long non-coding RNA. RefSeq lists it as uncharacterized. The record is from RefSeq and is a predicted model, not a curated record. NCBI's taxonomy places the organism in Eukaryota, Metazoa, Mollusca, Bivalvia, Ostreida, Ostreidae. The transcript has 2 exons.